ACAGGACCUGCAUGCAAUGCUGCUGGAAUGGUUGAUCGUACAGUUUUGGGUAUUCAACACUUAUAUAGAAGGCCAAUAUAUGCACGAACAAAAGAGUGUAGUGUCAAUUCUCCAGAUUAUGGUUCAAUUCCUAUAGAUGCUCCUUCGUGGUGUCAAGCCCCCUUUGACCCCGAAGGACUUUUGAGGUUUGUCAUUAUUUGUCCUUGAUAUUGCAAGGACUGCAAACUUUAUGUACUAAUUAUCUUGUUUUGAUA
Molecule: long non-coding RNA, 254 nt
Organism: Ipomoea nil (Japanese morning glory)
Lineage: Eukaryota; Viridiplantae; Streptophyta; Magnoliopsida; Solanales; Convolvulaceae
Exons: 2
Source: RefSeq, a predicted model, not a curated record